This 465-nucleotide ribosomal RNA is filed under the name uncultured Klebsiella sp. RNAcentral describes it as "bacterial SSU rRNA". It matches the Rfam family "Bacterial small subunit ribosomal RNA", at positions 338 to 795 of the family's 1533-position model. Lineage: Bacteria; Pseudomonadati; Pseudomonadota; Gammaproteobacteria; Enterobacterales; Enterobacteriaceae. The record is from RNAcentral.
CCUACGGGCGGCAGCAGUGGGGAAUAUUGCACAAUGGGCGCAAGCCUGAUGCAGCCAUGCCGCGUGUGUGAAGAAGGCCUUCGGGUUGUAAAGCACUUUCAGCGGGGAGGAAGGCGGUGAGGUUAAUAACCUCAUCGAUUGACGUUACGCGCAGAAGAAGCACCGGCUAACUCCGUGCCAGCAGCCGCGGUAAUACGGAGGGUGCAAGCGUUAAUCGGAAUUACUGGGCGUAAAGCGCACGCAGGCGGUCUGUCAAGUCGGAUGUGAAAUCCCCGGGCUCAACCUGGGAACUGCAUUCGAAACUGGCAGGCUAGAGUCUUGUAGAGGGGGGUAGAAUUCCAGGUGUAGCGGUGAAAUGCGUAGAGAUCUGGAGGAAUACCGGUGGCGAAGGCGGCCCCCUGGACAAAGACUGACGCUCAGGUGCGAAAGCGUGGGGAGCAAACAGGAUUAGAUACCCUUGUAGUC